CAAAUAAACAUUCUGACUCAAUGUCUCCAUUUUGCAGUUUAUCAGUGGUGACUAUGUUUGGACCUUAGACUGCGCCCUUCAUAAAGGAACUUCUUUUUUUUUAUUCAGGAUUGCAAAGCCCCAGUAUGUGUCACAGAAAGCUGUAAACUCUCGAGGAACGUGAAUGGGGCUGCUGGAUUCUUGUGUUUCUCUCAGAAAAUGAACCCCUUGAGCAAGUACAGUACUUCGAUUGUCAUUAACUCAGCAAAACAAAGUUCCAAGAGGUCAGCAGGUAUCAGUUGGUAUCAGCUCUGGGCUUUCGGACAGGACACCCACGGGUUUCUGGAGAAGAACUAUUUGCCUGAACAAGGAUUGCAUCCCAUGCAGUGCACUACAGGAAGCUGCUGAUUCUUGCACUUGGAGCUGGGACAAUGCAGCUUAAUCAGACUGACAGGAAACAGACAGCAAUUACAGAGUACCGCUGCAUCUGCCGGGUUCCACUCCGCUGGUGGAAGAAUUAUUUAAACUGCACUUUGGCUUUGCUGUUUUUUUCAACUCAGCUGUAAUCUGUUUACCUUCUGUCGUAUUCUUCUUUUUUUCCACACAACCUGAUUUAUUAGCAGCUCUUUCGCUCAGAAUAAAAUUUCUCUCCCCAUCUACAUGUCAUCCCUUA
RNAcentral lists this long non-coding RNA (652 nucleotides) under Lepisosteus oculatus (spotted gar). Its description in RNAcentral is "lncRNA (ENSLOCG00000022907.1)". The record is from RNAcentral. Lineage: Eukaryota; Metazoa; Chordata; Actinopteri; Semionotiformes; Lepisosteidae.